GAAAACAAGUGGCAGAACUGGCUUUAGGUGUAUCUCGGGAAAGUUAGGGAGCCAUUUUAAGCAACGUCAACUUGUCAAGAGGAAAAUAGUAGCCCAUAGAAAUCUUAGUGUCUUCGAAGAACUAUUAUAAGGCUUAUUGUGUUAUGUCUUAUGAUUUGUAGUUAUGGUGCUGGUGCGAAUCCACUGUUCAAGCUCGAUGGUCA
RNAcentral lists this unclassified non-coding RNA (203 nucleotides) under Hevea brasiliensis (rubber tree). The record is from RNAcentral. Lineage: Eukaryota; Viridiplantae; Streptophyta; Magnoliopsida; Malpighiales; Euphorbiaceae.